Molecule: RNA transcript, 4646 nt
Organism: Rhincodon typus (whale shark)
Lineage: Eukaryota; Metazoa; Chordata; Chondrichthyes; Orectolobiformes; Rhincodontidae
Gene name: nectin-3-like
Exons: 16
Source: RefSeq, a predicted model, not a curated record
GGGAUGUUCUGUGAUGCUGCGGGACGUGUUACGUUCCUCCAGCUCCACUGUUGUUUCUGACAAGAAGAUCCCGAUGUUUAUGCUGUAGAAGCUGGAAGCGAAGUCCUGCUCGCUAUUGAACCCCUUUAUGCCCCAACGAAACACAGAAAUGAAUUUUCUCACCCAACAGAUUCUCUGAAGAAAGACUGAGACUGGAUUGGGAUCAUUUCUCGUUUAAUCCGAUCGCGGAGAGCAGACCGUAUCUGAUGCCGAUUUGCGGGAUCUGGGUGGUUCUGGUCGUUCCGCUGCUCCUUUCGUGGAAUCUGAGCUCAGCGGCUGCAGGUUCAAUAAAUGUGAACGGUCACCAGAUUUUGAGAUCCGUAGGCGAAGAUACCCUGCUGCUGUGUACAAUUAAUACCGGGAAAACUAUCUCACAAUUCAUGUGGCGACACAGGCAUGGUCAAAAACAACAGAACUUUUUCACAGCAGUUUUCAUAAAUGGAAAGAAUGAAAAGUUUGAUUAUACAUUUGAUGGCAGAAUGACCUACAUUGGGCAAAGUUCCAAAAAUGCAUCAAUGUAUUUGAGAAAUAUUACACUAAGUGAUGAGGGGACAUACAGCUGUAUUUUCACCUUAUUCCCUGAUGGGCCUGUUGAAGCGGAUAUACAGCUGAUCGUAACAGCUCCUCCGGCUGUUACAAUCCAAACGUAUCCAGUUUUUUCUCUGAUUGACUGCAGUAAACGCCUCAUUGUCACCUGUACAGCAGCAAAUGCGAAGCCAGCUGCAGGUAUCACUUGGGAAGCUCCUUUCAAUCUACGUGCCAAUCAAAGUAUUGGGCAUCCUGCUGCGAAUGGGACUGUGACCGUCUCUAGCCAGUUUCAUCUGUGUCCAAAUAAAUCACUUCAUGGGCAGAAUAUUGUCUGUGUUGUGCAACAUCCAGCCCUCCACGCUUCAAAACGAGUUCCUUAUCGCCUGAAUAUUGACUNCAUGUCAUCAGUUUUAAUUAAAUCUCAGAAGAAUGAAGAUGGCUACUUAUACCUGAUUUGUGCUGCAGACGCUAACCCACCUCCUACUGAAUAUAUCUGGACAAAGCCUAAUGACUCUAUUCCGGAAGGUGUGAUAAUACAACACAACCAAAUUAAAUUGUCUAAGUUGACCCCAGAACUGUAUGGGUAUUAUACUUGUGCAGCAAGCAACACAGCUGGGACUGCAUCAGGCUCCAUAUAUUUGUUUCCAAUUGCAGACGAUCAGCAGCCACGUCAUUACAUGGUGCCCUUUAUCAUCAUAAUCCUGAUACUCGUAAUUCUGCUUAGCACUUUAGGCUAUCUUUAUCAAAGACUAAGAAAGAAAAAUCAACAAAGAAACAUUGGCAAAGAAACUUCCUCAAAAAUGAUGCCUUCACGAAGUUCCCGUGACUCCAAAACAGAACAUGUUGAGGUAGAAGAGGAAGAGGAAGUGGAAGCGGAGGAAAAUGAACCAGAUGUUCACUCAACAUGAUGAUAGAAUUAACCGGAGCCUGGAUGGGACUGGAAACAAGAGCAUGGAUCUAACUGUAAACCAAACCAAUAUUAUCGUCCAAUAAAAGGGAACGGUGACCAGAUUUUGAGAUUCGUAGGCGAUGAUACCCUGCUUCCAUGUACAAUUAACACCGAGAAAACUAUCUCACAAUUCAUGUGGCGACAGUCGUGGUCAACAACAACGGAACUUUUUCACAGCAGUUUUCAUAAAUGGAAAGAAUGAAAACUUUGAUUAUACAUUUGAUGGCAGAAUGACCUACGUUGGGCCAAGUUCCAAAAAUGCAUCAAAAUAUUUGAGAAAUAUUACACUAAGUGAUGAGGGGACACACAGUUGUAUUUUCAUCUUAUUCCCUGAUGGGCCUGUUGAAGCGGAUAUACAGCUAAUCGUAGGAGCUCUCCCAACUGUUAUGAUACAUCCAGUUAUCUCUCUGAUUGACGACAGUGAAUGCCACGUUGUCACCUGUACUGCAGCAUUUGCCAAACCAGCCACCAGUAUCACUUGGGAAGGACCUUUCAUUAUAGAUGCUAAUCAAAGUAUUGGGCCUCCCGCUGUGAAUGGGACUGUGACCGCCUCCAGUCAGUUUCAUCUGUGUCCAAAUAAGUCGCUUCAUGGGCAGAAUAUUUAUUGUGUGGUGGAACACCCAGCCCUCAGCACUUCAAAACGAGUUCCUUAUCGGCUGAAUGUUCACUGUAAUUACAAUUCUGUACUAAUUUGUCGCUAUACCUGUUUACAUGUUUCAGAUAUGUUGCCAGUUUUUAUUAAAUUUCAGAGGACUGAAGAUGGCUAUUUAUGCCUGAUUUGUGCUGCAAAUGCUAACCCAUCUCCUACUGACUACAUCUGGACAAAACAAUGGCUCUAUCCCAGAAAGUGUCAUAAUAGAAAACAAUCAAAUUAAACUGUCCAAGUGGACUCCUGACCUUUAUGGACUUUAUACUUGUGCAGCAAGCAAUGCAGUUGGAACUGCAUUGGGAUCCAUAUAUUUUUUUCCAGAAUCAACUUGAAUAUAAAAUUACUGUGACACAGAUGACAAAUUGAGAACAACCCCUCUCUCACUUCAGCCUGAGAGAUCGAACAACGGUUCUUCUGACAUGCAGCUGCAGUUUACAACCCCCGGUAUUUACAUGCUAUGAUCAGCAGCAACGUCAUUACAUGAUGCCUUUAAUGAUCGUAUUGCUGUUACUCAUAAUUCUGCUCAGCAUUCUCAGCUGUCUUUAUUAUAGAGAAAUAAAGAAGCAUUAACAAAGAAACAUUGAUAAAUAAACACACUCAACAAUAAUGAGACUGCAAUCCUCCCAGCGCAGCCAAAGUGAAAGUUCUCAGGUAAAAACAAAGAUAUACUCAAAGAUAUUUAAGAAACAUGCUCAGUAUUUUCACCUUUAAACACAAUGCUGCUGAGUGUAUCAGAAACUUGGAGAUUCCUUUGCCUUUCGUGUGCUCCCAAUGGUUGGGUGGGGGAGCAGUUGUCAUCUUGACUUGGACAAGCAAACUCCAUUUGCAGACUUUCCUGGAGAUUUCAACCUUCUAAGUUCUUUUUUUUUUCAAAUUUAUCUUUCAAACUUCCACAGUUUCUGAAAAAGAAGCUACAGACUGGAAAGUAGCAAAAAUAACCUUACCAUUUAAGAAGGGGAUGAGAGGGAAACUACAGACCUGUAGUUUGAUGUACAUAAUUGGGAAAAUGUUCAAACCUCUUGAACAGGAUGUGAUACCACCUGACAUAAAAGGCAAAUUAUGUUUGACAAAACUUUUGGAGUUUUAUGAAGAUAUUACUCAAAAUCCAAGAUGGAGAACAGGAGAUAAUAUUGGCUGCAAGAGCUCCUCCUUUUUUGAGGUUUUUUUUCGGUGUUAGAGCUGAUUUCCUCGAUUUCUUGGAACAGUAAUUACUGAUUUAUAAGCUGUUGCUUUGUUUUGGAACUUCGGAAAAAAGAUCAAAACAGCAGUGCUUUAAAACGGGAGGAAAGAGAGAGUGCAAGAAUCAUGUGGGAAGUGACAAAAAAUGGAGCAGUGAAACUUCACAACUGACUGCCUGUGUUAUGCAGUUACAAGCAUCUCAGAACAUCAGAGUUUGGUCUAAGAAAAACGAACAGUGAAAUUCACAGCUGAUCUUGGAGAGAUCUCAGUAUCUCACAGCAGGUUGAAGAAGGGCAAGUGGAGGACAUUGAACCAGAUGUUCAAUCAACAUAAUGACAGAAUCGACUGGAACAGGGCUGAAACUGGAAACAGAGCACCGGUCUGACUGAAAACUGGAGCACACCAAUGUCACAAUCACCUUAACAGCUUUCUGGAGUUUUCUCGAAGUUAUCUUUGAUUUGGAUGUGAACAUGUGUGUGUUAACUAUGGAGUAUAAGUCUAAAUAACCGAGUGCUAAGCCUUCUGUAUGCAAAAGCAUAGUUAUAUGUUUGAAGAGAUUAUAGUUUUUGUUUUUACAUUCCUCAGUGGUUGUUGCAAAGAAACAAAUGUCACAAUUUCACACAAAAUUAGUCACAGAUGAAGAUAAUGAUCAUGGGGUAAGGUGAAUAUUAACUUGAAUUGUUGAGCAUGACUGCGGCAGCACUGGAAGUAUCCAGGGUUAGCAUCAUGUUGACUCUGUGAAUGACCCCAAACAGUUGAGAAAAUUCAAUCAGGAGGUGACAAAUGGGAGAAAGGUUGUGUUCCCCCAAUGUCAGUCAGAUUCUGUCUCUCACAUGCAGGCCAGCUUGAGCUCCGCCAAUCAAGGCUACCUCUUUCCUGAUCUUGUUGCUGUUCCCAAUCUCUUGAUUGGACCUGGGGAGGUGUAGGAAGAUGUGUCUGUUUUGUCCCUAAACACACAGACUUGGAUUGAGAUGGACAGCAAACAGUUAAUAUUAACUAACACUUGAGAAUGUACACAGGGAGCUAUAUCAACAAUUGUACAAUCAGUUAUGCUAUAACGCAUGUUUCUUCAACACAAAUUGGCUUUAAUGCGAUUGAAGAAUUUGUAGAACGUGAACUUUCCUUACCUGUAUUGGCUAUAACACGAUUCUGGCCCCAUUAGUUUAAAUGGCAUGGCUAUUGUGUGAUUUUCUUAUAACCCGAGACCACACGAGAAUGAUGCAAAUAGAGAAUUUCUUAUUGCAGCUGUAUAAGGUGAUGGUGAGGCCACCUCUGGAGUACUGUGACAACAAGGUGCAGGGC